Molecule: unclassified non-coding RNA, 536 nt
Filed under: Trichoderma pseudokoningii
Lineage: Eukaryota; Fungi; Ascomycota; Sordariomycetes; Hypocreales; Hypocreaceae
Description: sequence contains 18S rRNA gene, ITS1, 5.8S rRNA gene, ITS2
Rfam family: 5.8S ribosomal RNA (bases 214-367)
Source: RNAcentral
AACAACUCCCAAACCCAAUGUGAACGUUACCAAUCUGUUGCCUCGGCGGGAUUCUCUGCAAAGGGCGCGUCGCAGCCCCGGAUCCCAUGGCGCCCGCCGGAGGACCAAGUCAAACUCUUUUUUCUCUCCGUCGCGGCCUAUGUCGCGGCUCUGUUUUAUUUUUGCUCUGAGCCUUUCUCGGCGAUUUUAGCGGGCGUCUCGAAAUGAAUCAAAACUUUCUAACAACGGAUCUCUUGGUUCUGGCAUCGAUGAAGAACGCAGCGAAAUGCGAUAAGUAAUGUGAAUUGCAGAAUUCAGUGAAUCAUCGAAUCUUUGAACGCACAUUGCGCCCGCCAGUAUUCUCGACGUCAUGCCUGUCCGAGCGUCAUUUCAACCCUCGAACCCCUCCGGGGGGUCGGCGUUGGGGAUCGGCCCCUCACCGGGCGCCCCCGAAAUACAGUGCGGUCUCGCCGCAGCCUCUCCUGCGCAGUAGUUUGCACACUCGCACCGGGAGCGCGGCGCGCCACAGCCGUAAAACACCCCAAACUCUGAAAUGG